AACGAACGCUGGCGGCAUGCCUAAUACAUGCAAGUCGAACGAGAUCUUCGGAUCUAGUGGCGCACGGGUGCGUAACGCGUGGGAAUCUGCCCUUGGGUUCGGAAUAACUUCUGGAAACGGAAGCUAAUACCGGAUGAUGACGUAAGUCCAAAGAUUUAUCGCCCAAGGAUGAGCCCGCGUAGGAUUAGCUAGUUGGUGGGGUAAAGGCUCACCAAGGCGACGAUCCUUAGCUGGUCUGAGAGGAUGAUCAGCCACACUGGGACUGAGACACGGCCCAGACUCCUACGGGAGGCAGCAGUAGGGGAAUAUUGGACAAUGGGCGAAAGCCUGAUCCAGCAAUGCCGCGUGAGUGAUGAAGGCCUUAGGGUUGUAAAGCUCUUUUACCCGGGAUGAUAAUGACAGUACCGGGAGAAUAAGCUCCGGCUAACUCCGUGCCAGCCGCCGCGGUAAU
RNAcentral lists this ribosomal RNA (451 nucleotides) under uncultured bacterium. RNAcentral's name for it is "bacterial SSU rRNA". It matches the Rfam family "Bacterial small subunit ribosomal RNA", at positions 29 to 524 of the family's 1533-position model. The record is from RNAcentral.